Molecule: ribosomal RNA, 254 nt
Filed under: uncultured bacterium
Lineage: Bacteria
Description: partial 16S ribosomal RNA
Rfam family: Bacterial small subunit ribosomal RNA
Source: RNAcentral
UACGUAGGGUGCAAGCGUUUGUCCGGAAUUAUUGGGCGUAAAGAGCUCGUAGGCGGUUUGUCGCGUCUGCUGUGAAAACGCGAGGCUCAACUCCGGGUCUGCAGUCGAUACGGGCAAACUGGAGUACUGCAGGGGAGACUGGAAUUCCUGGUGUAGCGGUGAAAUGCGCAGAUAUCAGGAGGAACACCGGUGGCGAAGGCGGGUCUCUGGGCAGUAACUGACGCUGAGGAGCGAAAGCGUGGGGAGCGAACAGG